AUGAUCUUUAUCUAUAUAAACCCCCAUGAUGAAACCAUUGUUAUCCACUACUCUUCUAAACAUUGUGCCUAGUUUACAUGUACACACUCCCCGUCCUUAAAUUUUGAAUUCAAAAUCAAUUAAGGAAGGGAUUCAUUCCCAAUUUCCCAUCAUCUACGUUCUCCAUUCUCUGUUUCCAUUUUUCUUUGUUCCUCCGCUUCUUCUUCUAUUCUUCUUCUUCAUGUUAGUUCCUCCUCUUUUUUUUCUUCCCUUCUUCCGUUCGUUUCUUCUUCCUGUUCCUAAUCUAAGUUGGAGAUGGAGGUUAUAAAGUUCAUGUACUCACCAACGCAGAGGAUGUCAUUGUACCUGAUGGCUCCAACCUUCAGAGGAGUCGUCGCGGUGGAGGCAACACCAGCAGUGGUGGUAGGGUUACGGCGGUGGAUGAGGUGCCGAUUGCUAUGGUGGUGGACGAUGGUAUGGCGUGGUAGUCCCAGUGGGUGCGGUGGAGUUCGUGGUAAUCAUCGAUGUGUGGUGAUGGAUACGGAGGAGGAAGCGGUGGAAGAAAGCAUAUAGCUGGAAAGUACUGAGUGGCGGCCAUAGAGAGCACAUGUAGUGAGACUGUGAAAGCCGAGAGCACAGCAGCGACGACCAGAACAGAGCCGUGAGAUCUAUUGGCGUUCAGAGCAGAUCUGCAUGUAUUCGACAACAAAAUCAUAUCGGCUACUGUUUGUGAAACAUGGUUCGGUAUCUCCUUUUUGAGUUUUGAUCAUGGAGUUUUGUCAAUGUCUUAAUUUUACUCGCUGGUAAAAUUACUUACAGGUAAUCCUUUUUUCCUUCUUUUUUGGAACUUUAGUUAUUUCUAACGUUAGUGCUUACUCUGUUGUUUUUAUUUGUUGUGCAUUUGUUGUACUGAGUUACAUAUUUUCUAACACAUCUAUAUUUGGACAAUCCGCAACUACCUUUAGAUAUUUCAUUGUUAGAUCACACAUGAUAUGCUCAACCACCUGUAUCCAUGAUAAAAGAGUGUUGAAGUUUGUGGUGUUUUCAUGAUAGGUUCAAUGGUUGUUAUUUAUCACAUUGGAAAAUGAAUACCACAAUGGAAUAUACCAUUGAAAAAUCAAUACCACAUUGGAAUCUUUGAUUGUUGUUUAUCUUCCAGCUUCGUUUAAAAUUUCAAAUUUUUUUAUCUUAAGUCAUAGAUUUUUUUUUGAAAGGAUUGGUUUGUGGUGCAGGGUGUGGAAGCAACAUGAAUCCAAUGACAUGCUGAUUUCAAAGCAUUAACAUGAUCAAGAACUUGGAAAUUAACAGAUGAGGUUGCAAUUCAAGGUUUUUUUUGGUUAUCAAAGUAGUAAUAUUUAAUUUUUGGCAUUCAAGCUUCUCUUUCCAUUUUUUUGCUUAUAUUUGGUUGCAAUUGAAACUUUUUUUUCUUGCUCAAUUGUUUGUUCAGGUUAAUUUAUUUCUAUAUAUUUAUGUUGAGCCAGCAGCUUCUCUUAAUGAUUCCCACUAAAUUUCAUAUUUGGAACAACUUCCUCUGCUGACUAGAUUUUACUUCUUCUUUAUUUUCUUUUUAUUUUCCUUUUUUAUUUUUUUUCAAAAUUAUUUUAAUUUUAAUCAAGUAGCUAAGUAUGUAAAACUGUUGUUGGAUCUGAAUUGACAUGAUCAUGUUUAAUUGAUUUAUGAAAACAUUCAAACAAAUUUAUUUAUAAAAAUGUCAUAUGUUGAAAUCAUAUCCAGCGUCCAAUGUCUCUAGAAUGAUGAAGUUCACACUUAGUUACUGCCUAUAGAAACCUUUGGUCUAUUCAAUUAAUUCUCUCCAUUCUGUUUUCAUAUUGACUUAAUUAAUCAUCGCAAAAGCCUUUUUAUUGAUCAAUCACUUUUUUCUGUCAUUGGUGAUAGUUAAUUAAGUUUAUGUUGAGCUUUAUUUUUUUUAUUUUCUGAUUUGAUUUAGUUUUGAAACUGCCUUUUUGAUGAGAGAAAAACUUGAUAUUAUGGGAUUUCAAAUUCAAGAGGACUUUUAGUUAAUCAUGUUUUAAUAAUUUCUUUGCUUUUCAGGUAAAAGGUGGUUUUCUGAGCUAGCUUGGGUUCAAAUCCAACGCUUAUGAGAUAGUAUUUAAUUUCUUGCUCCCAUCCUUUACUUUUGUUUCAUAAUCUGUGUUAGCAAAAGUAGCUGUAAGAAGAAUAUGAGAGUGAAUUUUUUUUUUUUCGAAAUUCAUAUAAUUAUCUGCAAAAUUAGUUGGUGAGUUGGUGAUACCUCUGCCAUAAUUAUCACCAAUAUAAUGCUGGCUUAGCUACUUAAUUAAUUUUCUACCAAUGAUUUGAUAAGUAGUUGGAUAGAACUUAGAAGAUACAAGCACUACUUCAAUAAGAUGAAGGGAGUGGUGGUGUCAUUUGAGGUCGUGGCUGGGGAGGAGCUGCCACUCUGCCACUGGUUAGAGCGCUUCUAACUUGGUAUUUGAAUGUUCCCACACUAGCUAUUGCUGAAUAGUGAAUAUAAAUAUUAUUAUCUUCUGGUAUUUAUAAUUAUUUCACUAUAUUAUUCUAUAUGAUAGUUGAAUUUGAGAAUAGUACCAUUAGUAGAACUAAUGCUAUGAUUGAUCAAUUCACUUGACUGAUAGAGUAUUUUGGUAUUUUUCACCUUGCACACUAUAACAGGAGAGAAAUUCAGAUUAUUAAAGAUGUUAGUGGAAUAAUAAAACCAUCAAGGUAAAAUGAUUCUCAUUUAUAUUCAGUUUUAUUUAAUGGUGUACAAUAAUUGCAAUUUAACAUUUACUUUACAAAGCCUUUUUUUGAAACAAAAACAUUUGAAUCCCUAUACAUUUCUUUUCUGGUGUGAAAUCUUGGGAUGACAUUUCUUUUCCUAAUUUUCUGCAUGAUAGUUCACUCAAUUGAGCAAUUGUCAUAUUAUCAUGUAGCAGGGUUCACACGGGUUUCUUCAUUUGUGGAAUCUAUGACUUCACAAAUAUUAUUAUUGUGUUUCUUUUUAUUGAACUAGAAGAUUAAAAGUGUUUCAUCCAGAUACAGUUAGUUUUAGUCUUAGGAUUUUAGCCUUUUGAUGGCUGAUUUAUAAAACUCAAUUGCACAAGAUAUUAUUUGUAAUAUAUUAAUACUUUCCCAUUAUAUGGAUGACAUAUGGAUGACUGCAGUAGAUUUUUUUAUGUUUAUCUUUGUUUGUAUUAAAUUUGCUAUACUCUUAAGUUCAUAUUCAUACCAAUAAACUUAUUAUACGAAAUUAUCUUUCUCUUUUCAACAAAUUAAUUCUUUGAUGUAUAUAGUAGAUUUUUUGGUUAUUCUUGAAUUUUCUAUAUUAUUUGUUUUAACUGUUCUGAAUCUGCUUUAGUAUAGCAUAUCAUUUUUUUAUCUGUUCUCACUAUCUUAUAUAUGUUUUAGGUGUCUUUGUUGCUACAAACAUUAGUUGAAUACACAUGAUUCGGGCAUUCAUUUAUUUAUUUUCUGAAUUUGAUCUUUUUAUUUAUUUAUUUAUUUAUUUAUUUUCUGAAUUUGAUCAUUUAUUUAUUUAUUUUCUGAAGUUGAAUACCAAUAUCCAAGGACUAGGAGUAAAAACAACAAUUUUGGUUGAAGUUUCGAUUGACAGUAUCAGCGACGAAGGUUCCGAUAUAGUUAAAUUAGUUCUAAGUUUAGCAUUUUUGGUGGGAGCCUAUUCUGUCGACAAGGCAUCAGGCGCUAACAAUAUGGCCAUUAAGAUAAAAAAGAUUGUGAUAGGCAGUUGCAGCAUGUGAGAAAGUAUAGGGAGCCAAUGACCUAAGCGUACAAUGUGUACAAUGAAGGUUUAGAAAGUAUUAGAGAUAUUAUUAUUAGUGUUACAUUAUCCUGUCAAGUUACGCUUUUGGGAUGAGUGGUUUUAGGACAUGGUAUAAGAAUUCCAGAUCCGGAAGGUCAAGGGUUCAAACCUUAGUGAAUCCAAAAUUAGCUUUUUAUAACAUAAGAUGUUUAUUAUCCCUGGUAUUCGGAUGGUUACUCGCAGCAUGUAUAGGGUUUUAGUUUUUUUUGGAUAAACCCAAGUAUUGGGAGGGAGAGAGAAUACGCUGUACUAUUUUAAAUUUUAUUGGGCGGGUUGUUUUGAGUAGGGCCUAUUUCAGGCCU
Non-coding RNA from Arachis ipaensis, 4080 nucleotides. Lineage: Eukaryota; Viridiplantae; Streptophyta; Magnoliopsida; Fabales; Fabaceae. The record is from RefSeq and is a predicted model, not a curated record.